GAUGUCCCUUUUAAUGCUCUUUGGCAGCGCCUCUGUGCCGAUGUGGAACAGGCUCCGUUUCAGGCGCUGGAGUGGUAGAUGGCACGCAGUCCUCAGCGCGCACGCAGUUGGAGGAAUCCUCUCAAAGCGAGGACACUCCCGCAGCCAGCUCGGAGUGAGGAAUCCACACCGGCGUCCAGCCCAGGCUUCCUGCCGCCGCUGCAGGUUUCCUUUGUGCGCGCUGGGGCUGAGGAGUGAUGCGUGAAAGGCCGGCGCUUCUGCCUGCUGAGUGCUGUGAUCUAAAGGAAGCUGGGCGGGGAUGCAGUUCCGUGGGUUCCGACGCCUGCCUCACAAGCUCAAGGACCCCAGUUCGAUCCCCGGCACCAACAACAACAAAAAGGACGCACAGGAAGCAGUUUUCCUCGGAUUCUCCCCACCUCCUUUCUCUUCCGUGUCUUUCUCUUCUGAACCGAAUCCCAGAAAGCAGAAGUCCCCCUCCCCAAAGUGGUUCACAAGAACCAGAACCUCCCUUCCCUACACCCGCGAAGCCUAGGAAGAUAGCUCUGCCCACUCCCUCGGGGGCCUCCUCCAGGAGGGGUCCCGCCCACCUCGGAAGGAAGGAGGGCUGCACAGAGGCCAGAAGGAUGCUGAGGACAGGCCCUGCCCGGCUGCCCUGGGAGUCACCGUUAGCCCGCACCCCAUUGUCUGGUCCCACUCUAUGCUGUUGUCCCUUCUUCACAGACUCUGAGCCCCAAAAGAGCUGCCCCUGCGCCUUGGGUCUUCAUUUCUGAAGGUACCAGGGUUGCACCAAACCUUGAUUAAAUAAACUGUUAUGCUUUUCUCUCACUAGCCUGCCUGUUGUU
Long non-coding RNA from Fukomys damarensis (Damara mole-rat), 842 nucleotides. RefSeq lists it as uncharacterized. The transcript is spliced from 3 exons. NCBI's taxonomy places the organism in Eukaryota, Metazoa, Chordata, Mammalia, Rodentia, Bathyergidae. The record is from RefSeq and is a predicted model, not a curated record.